This 119-nucleotide ribosomal RNA is filed under the name Pteropus alecto (black flying fox). The record is from RNAcentral. Lineage: Eukaryota; Metazoa; Chordata; Mammalia; Chiroptera; Pteropodidae.
GUCUAUAGCCAUGCCACCCUGAACGUGCCCAAUCUCAUCUAAUCUCGGAAGCUAAGUAGGGUCGGGCCUGCUUAGUACUUGGAUGGGAGACCAUCUAGGAAUACCAGGUGCUGUAGGCA